GACCCUGCAGGCGCAUUUAAAAUGAGGGAAGCAGCCCCUGCCACGCGCCCAGGCCAUCCGCCGUUCUCCUGCCUGUCCUGUUGGAUGGAGGCCGUUGGAUGCACGUGAAACUGCAUUCCACUUUCCAGCGGCCGCCUCCUCCAGAGGGUGGCUCAGGAGAGGCCUAACAGAAUUAGAGUAUUUGCCGGUUAUCCGGAUCAGAAGGGAUGGUGGCCUGACUGGACGUAGAGGAACCUUUGGGGCACAAGGAGGUGAUGCCUGUCACUCUUGAACAUGGGCGCAGCCGCCAGAGCUGCCCCCCAGGGCAGAAGGUGGGCCCCGGUGAGCUUGUGUGCUCACACCUGGGCAGGCCCUGUGGCAGCAAUGGCAGCUCUCCUGUGCAGGUUGAGUUUCAGCCACACCAAGAAGUCAAAGCUAACUGAGGCCUGCCUUCUGAGACCCCUGGGAUGGCCCCUGGGAGGCCAAGGAGUUGGGUACUGGGUACCUGGAGCAGAGUCACUGUGGCCACAGAGAACCGCAGCUGAGCUUCGUGAAGCCACAUGGCCACACCUCCCAGUGCCUCCACCCCCACCAAACACAGACCACUCAGAAAAUAGGAACCCAGGGCAAAUUGUAUGUGCUACUUACUGGGUUUAUUAUAAGUGUCAAAUGUAUUUUAUAAUAAAACAUAGGUGAUUUCAGCUUAAUGGA
Molecule: long non-coding RNA, 690 nt
Organism: Mandrillus leucophaeus (drill)
Lineage: Eukaryota; Metazoa; Chordata; Mammalia; Primates; Cercopithecidae
Exons: 2
Source: RefSeq, a predicted model, not a curated record